GACAAGUGAGGUUCUAAACUACACCUCUGCCAUGCCUGUACUGACCUUUGGACCAGGGAGCCCCAUGGGGCCAGCAACUCCCAUUUCACCCUAAAAGAAGAAAGACAACAAAAAAACAGGAAUCUCAAAUCUCAAGACAGACUUCAUCUCUCCAUGGUUCUGUGGUAUUUCAUCCCAUUACUCAUUUUGACAGAAGGAGGGGAAGAUGCACACAUGGCAGACAGGACACAGACAGCUCUGCAAAUGCCAUGAAGGAAGAGAUCCCAGACUGAGGGGGCGGUGCAGGCUCACCCACAAGAAUGUAAUGUCAGGUGCCCAGUCCCACUGCACCAGACCCUGAGAAAAUGGAGAAGCAAGACCUGUGCAAUUGGAGAUGGAGUUGGAUGGGAAUGCAAUGGACUUCUCCAGAAAAGUGGCCUCUGGAGAAGAAUCCCAACUCCUCCAUUCAGCCUUCCACACUUACAAAAUCAAGCCUCUCAGCAGUUAGUUUGAAAAUGUCUCAAUGUCUCUGCAUCUCAGUAUGACCAGGGAUGUUAUGGAAAAAUCAUUCAGCAGGACUAAUUGAUCAGGACAGGCUUGGAACAGAAGCCAGCUGAGCAUAUGGUUAAAAGCACAGAUGUGGGAACCUGAAUGACUGGGUUCAAAUCUCAACCCCUGCUCUUAUUACCUGUCAAAAGAUUUCUCUUUCCUCACCGGACUGUGUGCUGGUGGAGAGCUGUCCUACCUUCAUGGGAACUGAAAGCUGAAACACAUCAGAGGUGAGUAAAGACAGGACCCAGAGCUUCAUUCAGAAGAACACUGAAGGGAACUUCUCAUGAUGAGAUUUUAUUACGUAUCAGACACUGUUCUAGAUGCUUUACAGACCAUUAUUCCAUCUGAUUCUCCCACCAACGGUUCAUGGUAGGUACUCUAUUUUCCAUUUUACAGCUAAGAAAACCAAGACUCAGAAAGAUAAAGUAACCCAUCCCAGGACCCACACGAAUGAAGGAGUAGACACGAGACCUGAACCCAGGUCUAUGUGACCCUGAGCCAGUGCCCUCCACUGCAUCACGAAGCUGGGUCACUCAUGCUGCCAAUAUAGGUGUCACAGGACAGCAGAGUUGGUGUCCAUGUCCUUGGCUAGACCAAGUGUCUUGGAGGACAGGAACUCAGUCUUCUUUACCCCCAUCAGAAGGCCUGGUACUACAUUAUCAUUAGGACAAGAAGCUAGACCUCUUGGGUCUCAUGACAUCCCCCCUGCAGGUCCUCUGAGCCUCCAUACGCCAGGCUCUCUAUCUCUCUAGGCCCAGGGAUAAGAGCCCUGGAGAAAACAUGGUGGGUGGUGCCAUCCACUGUGAGAGGGGAACAGAAAGCUCAGGACCACUGAGAUAAGGCAUCUGCUGCCCUUACCUGUGGGAUGCUGUACUGGUCGAUGACCUGCCAGAUAUACCAGUCUUCCUUCCGAGAGGUUUUCCUGAACCGGAAGGUUGUGACAAAGGCGUACUCAUCAGGUAAACCUUGGGGGAACACAUCCCUGGAGAAAAAUGGAGACAAAGACACCAGGCUUGGCGAUGAGAGCAGGGAGCCAGCAAAGUGAGCCCACACAACCCAGCAGUGAUCAAGCCCUGCCAAUUUGACUUCCUAAAUAUUUCCACCAUCCACCUUCUUGGCCUGCCUUCACUGCCUUCUCCUUAGGUCAGGGCCUCAAUGUGGCCUAGACCAUCGUCAUGACCCCCGAGGCUCCAACAUCAGCACCUUCAAAUCCAUCCCUAUGGUGCGUCUGCUUCCAUCUCUCCACCACCACCAUGACUCUGAUGACAUCCACAGUAAACGCUAAAUGGUCACGCCCCCGGGAUCAAAUAUGGAGAGACACCCAGCUUCGCUGCUCCCUGCUGCAUCCUCCUCAGCCAGGACAAAUGGAUAUACCUUAUCCUGCUUGGUGCCCUGUCCCAGAUGCCAGGAUGCCAUGGUCUGAAUGUUGCUGUCUUCCUAAAUCCAUAUGUUGAAAUCUUCACACCAAGGGAGACUCCAAAGAGGGAGGGGAGGCUUCAGGACUCCUCUGGCUGUGGACUGACACAGGAGGGCCCAUAAUAGAGGGUCCCGGUCACCAAACAGACUCUUUGAAAGGAUCCUCCACAUAUGUCGUAGACUAAGAAAUCUGUUCAAAGUCCUGCAUUUUCAUGUGUAAGUGGAACAUUCUAGACUUCUGAA
Molecule: long non-coding RNA, 2190 nt
Filed under: Homo sapiens (human)
Lineage: Eukaryota; Metazoa; Chordata; Mammalia; Primates; Hominidae
Description: HSALNT0144749
Source: RNAcentral